AAAAACAAUACUAUCUAUAUAAUUAAAUUAUAUAUUUAUGAAUUCUAAAAUCAUUACAUUUUUUUGCC
This 68-nucleotide transfer RNA is filed under the name Apocheima cinerarius. RNAcentral's name for it is "tRNA-Leu". The record is from RNAcentral. Lineage: Eukaryota; Metazoa; Arthropoda; Insecta; Lepidoptera; Geometridae.